GAUGAACGCUGGCGGCGUGCCUAAUACAUGCAAGUCGAGCGAACAGACGAGGAGCUUGCUCCUCUGACGUUAGCGGCGGACGGGUGAGUAACACGUGGAUAACCUACCUAUAAGACUGGGAUAACUUCGGGAAACCGGAGCUAAUACCGGAUAAUAUAUUGAACCGCAUGGUUCAAUAGUGAAAGACGGUUUUGCUGUCACUUAUAGAUGGAUCCGCGCCGCAUUAGCUAGUUGGUAAGGUAACGGCUUACCAAGGCAACGAUGCGUAGCCGACCUGAGAGGGUGAUCGGCCACACUGGAACUGAGACACGGUCCAGAGUCCUACGGGAGGCAGCAGUAGGGAAUCUUCCGAAAUGGGCGAAAGCCUGACGGAGCAACGCCGCGUGAGUGAUGAAGGUUUUCGGAUCGUAAAACUCUGUUAUUAGGGAAAAACAAAUGUGUAAGUAACUGUGCACGUCUUGACGGUACCUAAUCAGAAAGCCACGGCUAACUACGUG
This 497-nucleotide ribosomal RNA is filed under the name uncultured bacterium. RNAcentral's name for it is "partial 16S ribosomal RNA". It matches the Rfam family "Bacterial small subunit ribosomal RNA", at positions 28 to 507 of the family's 1533-position model. The record is from RNAcentral.